RNAcentral lists this ribosomal RNA (274 nucleotides) under uncultured bacterium. RNAcentral's name for it is "partial 16S ribosomal RNA". It matches the Rfam family "Bacterial small subunit ribosomal RNA", at positions 523 to 796 of the family's 1533-position model. The record is from RNAcentral.
AUACAGAGGGUGCAAGCGUUAUUCGGAAUUACUGGGCGUAAAGCGCGCGUAGGCGGAUGAUUAAGUCAGUUGUGAAAGCCCUGGGCUCAACCUAGGAACUGCAUCUGAUACUGGUCAUCUAGAGUUUAAGAGAGGGAAGUGGAAUUCCAGGUGUAGCAGUGAAAUGCGUAGAUAUCUGGAGGAACAUCAGUGGCGAAGGCGACUUCCUGGCUUAAAACUGACGCUGAGGUGCGAAAGCGUGGGUAGCGAACGGGAUUAGAUACCCUAGUAGUCC